UCUUUUUAGUGUUUCUAAGAUACUAUUUCUAGAUGAGAGCCACUGGUUAUUUGGCAGACUGGGUUAAGUACAUUAUCUUCUCUAAUGUGACUAAUUCUUCUCCAGUCAGUUGAAGAGCUGACCAGGACAGAAAGGGGAGGAAGAAAAAAAAUUCUAGCUUUGAAUAAAACUAUCAGCCUUUGGGGGCUUUGUUUGGUUUUUAUGUUCACAUUCAUAGUGUAUCAAUGACUCUUCCUGGGAUCUCAGGCCAACCAGCUGUGGACUGGAACCACAAUAUCCACUCUUCUGUAGUUUGGACUUCAGAUAUGGAUCAGAACUAAAUCAUAGACUCUUCCAAGUUUUCAACUGCUGACUCAUCUUGUAAAUCCUGGGACUUUCCUGAGUCUGUGACUAGCACUCUGAAGUAGCUAGAGUAAGCACUCUGAGAAUCCUCACUGACAGAGAAGGAAACUGAGGUUGAAGAUGGAUUCUCUCUCUCUCUGUGAUUCCAUGGCCCAACUGUCCCAGAAGCAGAACAACUUCAACUCCAAAACCAAAGCCCUGCAGGAAGUCAGUAAGAACACUAAGGCCCAGGGAUGAUCUCUGGCUUGUCACUGUGUACAUCUUGAGAGGAAAACACUGUCUGCUUAGACACCUCAUCUGUCAACCCAACACUUGAUUGUCCACACUGCAUGCUGCUGCUGAUGACCUGGAUGCAGAUUGUUUCCUCUGAAAGUCCUUUUCCUCCAUGCACGGUCCUCAUGGACUGUCAUUUCAGGAUAUCCCAUGUUCAUGGAUGCCAUUUGAGAUGUAUGUGGCCACUCACAGCCCUGCAUUUGUAACGAAGAUGCUUCAGCCUCAGAAGCCCUGGGUCUCAGUCUCAGUUCCUUCUUAACAGCAGGGGAAACAUGGCCACAUGUCUUGCUCUUCGGACUCUGGUUUCUUGUCAUCAUAGAGGCCUGAACACAGUAUUUAUGAUUCAUAUUUUCUCAUGAGGACUAUGAGAUGAAGCAGGCAGCACACCGUGGACCCUGUGAAUGCUCAGUAAACCAUCCCAAAUAUUGAGGGGCAAGCCCAGUAUUAAAGGGGGCCCAGAGCACUGUUUUCAAGGCUAAGUUGAUGCCAGCUCUGUUGGCCCAUGAAUUUAGCAGUAAACAAUUCCUGUAUACUGCAGUAGUGGUGACUAUCUCUGCUGCUAUAGAAAGUCCCUUUCUUCUCUGAUCCAAGCUUUUCCAUGUAUAAAAUAGGUACAGUCAGAACUUCUGCUGUGCAGGAGCUGAUGGCACUGGUUGGCAAGCCAAGCAAAGGAAAUGAGUAUUCAUCCACUUACUAUCUGCUCGCUUGCUAAGGAAAAGCUAAGGCAUAAUUAGUAGAGUUCAGUAUAAGUAUAUGAUGAGAUUAUCAUUGUCACCAAGGUUUUUGGAUAGGUGAAGUUCCUGGAUGACAAAGACUUUCACAAAAAUAACUGAUCAAACGUAGUCAGAGGAGUCAGGUGUGGGAGCACCUGCUGUAGUCCCAGCACCGGGGAGGCAGAUGCAGGAGGACUGUUGUGAGUCUGAGCAGCCUGAGCUAACUACUGAGUUCUAGGCCAGCCUUGGCUACAAAAUAAGAUUGUAUUUUCUCUCUCUCUCUCUUUUUUAAAGCAAACAAAAAAAAAUCUACACAACAAAACAUUCACAGUGUCUGGAGUCAAAGUGGAAAACAGCAUAAAUAAAAUGUGUA
Apodemus sylvaticus (European woodmouse) is the source of this 1701-nucleotide long non-coding RNA. RefSeq lists it as uncharacterized. The record is from RefSeq and is a predicted model, not a curated record. The transcript is spliced from 3 exons. Lineage: Eukaryota; Metazoa; Chordata; Mammalia; Rodentia; Muridae.